RNAcentral lists this long non-coding RNA (2234 nucleotides) under Canis lupus familiaris (dog). RNAcentral describes it as "lncRNA (ENSCAFG00040000498.1)". Lineage: Eukaryota; Metazoa; Chordata; Mammalia; Carnivora; Canidae. The record is from RNAcentral.
GUUCAAGAAGUGGACAGAAAAUGAAAGCUCCCAUCCAGGGCCUGCCACAAGUGGCAGUUCAUCUGGACCUUGCUGGUGCCAGAUGGUGCCCAGGAAUAAAAUCCAAGUGGAAGUGGAAAGGUGAUGAAGAAGAGUGUUGGCAAGAAGUUGCCUCUGGUGACAGUUGUCUCUUCAAAUCCUCAUGAAACUCUCCCCUUCACGUGAUUCAGUAAUGUGAUCCAAUAAAUGCCUCUUUGUCAAAGCUAGUUUGUAUGGGACUUAGGUCACUUGGAUUCAAAGAGGUCUUGAGUAAUAAAGCAGUGCCUUAGGUGAUCUUCUCUGCUCCUGUGUAAUAUCCCAUUACCCACUCACCUCUCAGCUCCUAAGAAAGUACUCUGUGAUGAGGACUGGUUUCCUGACUCCACCCUCACCUCUGGGAAUGGGCCCAGAAUAUUGUAAGCUGAUCAGCACAUCCCACCCCCUUGACUAUGGUGAUUGGUUCAGAGAUAAGCUUAUGAUCCUGAGUUGAUAUGAGUCAGACUCAGGACUUUUGCUCAACUUUGGGAGCAAUAAGAUUUCCGAUGAUGUGACUUGACCUCUGAUCAAGCCAGUCUGAAGCCCGGUCCACUAUCUAGGUUAGAAUCCCAAUCCUGCUACUCAACGUUACUGUGCCUCAGUUUCUGCUUCUCUAAAAUGGAGACAUAGCAGUCUUCAGAAAAGUUUUGCAAGGAUUAAUGAAUUAGUACAUGCAAAGCAAUUAGACCAGUGCCUGACAUGUACUUAAUGUCCAAUAAAUGCUACCUAUUUACUAUUAUUAAUCCUUAGAUGGUCAAAUAAAUACUCUUAUUUGAGCCAGUUUGUGUUGGAAUUCCUGUCUCACAUAAUCAAUCAAACAAACAAACAAACAAAAACCCUAAAUUGUAUGGAUCACACAGAGAAGAUUUCUUCUUCCAUCUAAGACUGCAAGCAUAUGUCCAUCAUGUCAUGCUACCCAGAGGAAGGGCAUGGCUCAGUUAAGAAAGAAGCAGAGUACAGCCAUGUGUAAUACAUCUAUCAUGUUCUGCAUGGAGCUCUACUCCCUCCCCACAUAACGGUCAGAGCUGUUCAUUGGUCAGUGGCUCUCAAAUUGCCCAGAGGUCCUGUUAAAAUACAGUGACCUUGCACUCUGGAGCGUUGAUUCAGCAAGUCUACCAAUAUUUUUGCAUUUCUAACAAGUUCACAGGUGAUGCAGAUGCUGUUAGCACCCAGAACACACUUUAAGAACCACUGUUCUAAACAUGGAAUCCAACCUGGGGAGUAUGAUAGGGGCAUAAAGAUGCCUGCUUCCUCUGGCUUUCUAGGUAAACCAUAGAGUAGCUUCCUGAGGAUGAAAAGAUUGGCUGAAUUAAUAGCCCUUCCAGAUCCUCAUGUAUCAGAUUUGCUCUGUUAGCAUUUUGUUAAACCAUUUUUUCUGGUUCUUCCUACUCAUUUAUGUCUUCCUUAAAGCAAAUAUUAAAUCACUAAAACAAGUACAUCUGCCCUUAUAGUCCAUGGAGUGAGUAGAGGUCCUGAAAGCUGUUAAGGUAGAGUAGGAAAAUGAUUGGGUAAAACAAGUUAUAUACUUGGAUGGAAAUGCACCAUAACAAAGUCAAAAUCGAUCUAUGUAUAUAUACCAAACAUGGAAGAAAGCUAUUAAGUAUGUUAAGAUUUAGUUUCUGGCUUUUGUGAGUGACAUUUAUUUCCUUGCCAAUUACUGCAUAAGUGAUAUUUACAAAAGUUAUACAAGUUAUUCAGAUAUUUUAAGGGAGUGCUAGUGAGAGAAUGUUUUGAAAACUUUUAUAAAAAUGAGCAGCAGUUUAUAAAUCAUAGAAAAAUGUACAUAAUGUUUCAAACACAUUAAUUUGAGAUACUUGUGUUACUUAAAUAUCCUCAUAUUUUCUAACAUUCCCUUUAGGAUGCGUAAAUUGGAAAUCCACAGACCCGUUGCAAAAUUUUAAAAAUAAUGAAAGGCACCAGUUUGUAGAAAUCACACUGACUUAAUAAACAUCUUCUAUUGAUCUUCUCCCAAAACAUUUAAGUAGAAAUCAUUUUCAGUUUUAGCUAUUCAUUUUUUUAAUUAUUAGAAUGCAAAGAAUCACUAAAACCAAGCCAUCUCUUUAUCAUCUUAUUUAUUUGUUUUGGGUGAUCUUCAGGAUUACCCAGUCUUCAGACUUCAGGAUAUCCAGACAAAUUCUCUUUAACUUAAUUGAAAGAAGGAAAGAAGGAAGGAAGGGACA